RNAcentral lists this long non-coding RNA (2119 nucleotides) under Equus caballus (horse). RNAcentral's name for it is "lncRNA (ENSECAG00000044705.1)". The record is from RNAcentral. Lineage: Eukaryota; Metazoa; Chordata; Mammalia; Perissodactyla; Equidae.
GCGGGAGGCUGUGGCGUUUGUCCACAGCCUGGGGCAGUGGCAUUGCAGCCUCCCAGCCUCGCCUCUCCUGCCCUUCCAGCCUCCAGGAGCCUGGGAGUCCCAGGUGGCUCCUCGGGACAAGGCCAAGACCGAUGCCAGAGGACCAGAGUGGUGUGAAGGAGGCACUGGGUGCAAAACUUAAGGAGCUCCAGAAAACCCCACAGAAAUCCAGAUGAUUAAUAUUUUGAGGCAAGAUUUUAAGAAAGCAAACAAUGCCAGAAGAUUCGGUUGUGGACAACAUAUCAAAAUUUUAAAGACAAGAUCAGUAGCAGCUGGGCUGAGGGAGGCUGCAGCCAAGGAAAACUCAAGAGUAGGAUCCCAUUUUAGUUAAAAUGUUGGUAUUUUGUCUACCACGGAUCGUUCUCCACGAUUUUAAAGCGGUGCCUGGAUGCUUUAUUGGGAUGUAAUUUAUAUCGUACAGUUCACCCAUUUAAAGUGUCCAAUUCAGUGGUUUUCAGAAUAUUCAAACUCAUGCAACUAUCGCCACAGCAAUUUGGGAACAUUUUCAUCACCUCUAGAAAAUUCCCUGGACCCACUAGCAGCCUCUUCCGUUCAUUUCAAUUUCCCCAGCCCUGGGCAACCACUAAUCCUUCUGUCUCUAUGGAUUUGCCUAUUCUGGAUAUUUCGUAUAAAUGGACCCAUACGAUAUGUGGUCUCUGGUGUGUGGCUUUUUCACUUAAGCAUAAUGUUUUCAAGGUUGAUCCUUGCGGUAGCAUGCAACAGUGCUUCACGCCUGUAUCCUGCCCAGUAAUAUUCCAUUGUAGGGAUAAGCCACAUUUUCUUUGUCCGUUCCUCCGCAGAUGGACGUUUGGGUUGUUUCUACUUUUUGGCCAUAAUGAAUAAUGCUGUUACAGACAUUCAUGUACAAGUUUUUGUGUGGACAUUUGUUUUCAUUUCUCUUGGGCAUAUACCUAGAGUAGAAUUUCUGAGUCAUAUGGUAACUCCACGUUUAACCGUUUGAGGCAUUGCCGGACUGUUUUCCAAAGUGGCCCCACCCUGUUACAAUCCCACCAGCGAUGUAGGAAGCCUCCAGUUUCUCCACAUCUUCACCAGCACUUGCUAUUCCCUGUCUUUUGGAUUAUAGCUUUCCUAGUGGGUCUGAAGUGGUAUCUCAUGUUGGUUUCGAUUUACCUUUCCCUAACGGUUAAUGAUGUUGAGCAUUUUUUCACCUGCUUUUUAGACAUUUGUGUAUCUUUCCUGGAGAAAUGUCUGUUCAAACCUUUUGCCCAUUUUUCAAACAUUUUAAUUAUGUUUUGUAUAAAUGGCAUCACACUGCGUUUAUUGUUCUGACUUGCUUCUUUGCAAUUGACAGUAUGCUCUGGAGCUCUUUCCACGAUCUUUAGAGAGCUACCUCACUGUUUUUAAGCAGCUCGUCAAAGUUUCAUAGUGUGGCUGUGCUAUAAGUAUUUAUCCAAUCUCUGAUUGAUGGAUAUUUAUGUUUUGUCAAAAAUUUGUUCUGUUACGAAACAAGGUAAUAAACAUCCUUAGACACAUCUCUGUAUACCCAAGUGGAUCUUUUUGAAAAAUAAAGUCCUAGGAGUGGAAUUGCUGGGUCGAAAUGUUUUGUUUCAACACGUAUUAACAAAUUGUUCUUCAAACAUUUAACUCACGGGCACCUUUACCAGCAUCGUGUGAGAAUGCCUGUUCAAUUGUGUGCUUACCAACACUUGAUAUUAUCUAUCUCUUUAAUUUUUGCCAAUUUGUCAGGCAAAAAAAAAUUCCACUGUUGUUUUAAUUUUCAUUUGCCUGAUUGCUGUGUGAACUUUAAAAAAUAUAAUUAUUGACCCUUUUCAUUUUUUCUUCUGUGAAAUCUAUUUGUAUCUUUUGUCCAUCUUUCUAAUGGACUGUUUUUCUGUAUUCUGGAUGUGGAUCAUUUUUCUCCCAGCCUGUUGCUGGUGUUUUGUCACACAGAAAUGUUCAAUUUCGACGUCAUAAAGAGUGUAACCCUCUUCCUUUUGAUUUCUUGGUUUCUCUUGUUUUUCCUACCGCAAGGUUGUGAAAACAUUUCCCUCUAAUAUUUUCAUAUUAAAAAAUGAAUAGAGAGAUACAUUUGGGAUGUCAUGACAAUAUUGAAAUAAAA